RNAcentral lists this transfer RNA (64 nucleotides) under Mactra sp. WB-F. Its description in RNAcentral is "tRNA-Asp". The record is from RNAcentral. Lineage: Eukaryota; Metazoa; Mollusca; Bivalvia; Venerida; Mactridae.
AGCAGAGGUAGUUUAUUAGAAUAUAAAAUUGUCGAUUUUACGGUACCAAUUUGGUUCUUUGUUU